Molecule: ribosomal RNA, 501 nt
Filed under: uncultured bacterium
Lineage: Bacteria
Description: partial 16S ribosomal RNA
Rfam family: Bacterial small subunit ribosomal RNA
Source: RNAcentral
AUUGAACGCUGGCGGCAGGCUUAACACAUGCAAGUCGAGCGGGGGAAGGUAGCUUGCUACCGGACCUAGCGGCGGACGGGUGAGUAAUGCUUAGGAAUCUGCCUAUUAGUGGGGGACAACAUCUCGAAAGGGAUGCUAAUACCGCAUACGUCCUACGGGAGAAAGCAGGGGACCUUCGGACCUUGCGCUAAUAGAUGAGCCUAAGUCGGAUUAGCUAGUUGGUGGGGUAAAGGCCUACCAAGGCGACGAUCUGUAGCGGGUCUGAGAGGAUGAUCCGCCACACUGGGACUGAGACACGGCCCAGACUCCUACGGGAGGGAGCAGUGGGGAAUAUUGGACAAUGGGGGGAAACCUGAUCCAGCCAUGCCGCGUGUGUGAAGAAGGCCUUAUGGUUGUAAAGCACUUUAAGCGAGGAGGAGGCUACUUUAGUUAAUACCUAGAGAUAGUGGACGUUACUCGCAGAAUAAGCACCGGCUAACUCUGUGCCAGCCGCCGCGGUAA